RNAcentral lists this ribosomal RNA (480 nucleotides) under uncultured bacterium. RNAcentral's name for it is "partial 16S ribosomal RNA". It matches the Rfam family "Bacterial small subunit ribosomal RNA", at positions 28 to 507 of the family's 1533-position model. The record is from RNAcentral.
GACGAACGCUGGCGGCGUGCUUAACACAUGCAAGUCGAACGAUGAACCUCGAAAUGAUUUCUUCGGAACGAUUUUUGAGAGGAUUAGUGGCGAACGGGUGAGUAACGCGUGAGCAACCUGCCUUAGACAAGGGGAUAGCCUCGGGAAACCGUGAUUAAUACCCUAUGAGACUCCACUUACGAGUGUAAGAGAAGUUAAAGCUAUUGCGGUCUAAGAUGGGCUCGCGUCUGAUUAGCUAGUUGGUGAGAUAAAAGCCCACCAAGGCGACGAUCAGUAACCGGCUUGAGAGACUGAACCGUCACAUUGGAACUGAGACACGGUCCAAACUCCUACGGGAGGCAGCAGUGGGGAAUAUUGCAAAAUGGGGGCAACCCUGAUGCAGCGACGCCGCGUGAGCGAUGAAGGAAUUCGUGUCGUAAAGCUCUGUCCUGGGAGAAGAUAAUGACGGUAACCAAGGAGGAAGCACCGGCUAACUACGUG